Molecule: long non-coding RNA, 228 nt
Filed under: Elaeis guineensis (African oil palm)
Lineage: Eukaryota; Viridiplantae; Streptophyta; Magnoliopsida; Arecales; Arecaceae
Description: long non-coding RNA (EGUI_LNC063339)
Source: RNAcentral
ACCUAUUGGUAUCAAGGAUAUGAGCUUAGGGGUUAGAAGUCGACAUAGUUAUCUACAGAAAAAAUAAUUUCUACUUAGAUAUUUAUACUUAUAAAAAUAUUUAUUCUAGAAACUUUAAAAAUAAACAAAGCUUCCAUUAUUUCUUCGAAUCUCCCACACUCCUCGGGUGGAUAAAUGAAAACCUAUAUGUGAUUGGUUUGAAGUGGGUACUAUGGUCUCAUUAAUCUA